AACCUAAAGGCAAAACUACCAUCAUCUUUAGUUUUCAAGGUACCCGUAAACUACUUAGUCAAACUUCUUCUCCAGUCAAAUAAUAAAAACGCAUGAUGAAUCUCAUCGGAUCCUCACAUCUCAGGCUGCAUUGGGAAGUCUCAUCCUUGUCAUACCUAUGCAGAAAUCACCUGAUUCGUUGCUCUCUAGAGUCCCAUCUGUUUCAGCCUCUGGAAAUGACAGAACAUUAAAGAAUUUUUAACAGCUUCAAGAGGAAUCCUAGGAGCCAAAGACCAGUACAUUUGAUUUGCUGACCAAACCAGUA
Lepidothrix coronata (blue-crowned manakin) is the source of this 304-nucleotide long non-coding RNA. RefSeq lists it as uncharacterized. The record is from RefSeq and is a predicted model, not a curated record. The transcript is spliced from 3 exons. NCBI's taxonomy places the organism in Eukaryota, Metazoa, Chordata, Aves, Passeriformes, Pipridae.